UACGUAGGGGGCAAGCGUUGUCCGGAUUUAUUGGGCGUAAAGCGCUCGCAGGUGGUUCGAUGCGUCGUGCGUGAAAGACCCCGGCUCAACUGGGGAGGGUCGUGCGAUACGGGCGAACUGGAGGCCAGUAGGGGGAUGCGGAAUUCCGGGUGUAGUGGUGGAAUGCGUAGAGAUCCGGAGGAACACCAGCGGCGAAGGCGGCAUCCUGGACUGGUCCUGACACUCAGGAGCGAAAGCGUGGGGAGCGAUCCGG
This 253-nucleotide ribosomal RNA is filed under the name uncultured bacterium. Its description in RNAcentral is "partial 16S ribosomal RNA". It matches the Rfam family "Bacterial small subunit ribosomal RNA", at positions 524 to 776 of the family's 1533-position model. The record is from RNAcentral.